GAUGAACGCUGGCGGCGUGCCUAAUACAUGCAAGUCGAGCGAACGGACGAGAAGCUUGCUUUUCUGAUGUUAGCGGCGGACGGGUGAGUAACACGUGGAUAACCUACCUAUAAGACUGGGAUAACUUCGGGAAACCGGAGCUAAUACCGGAUAAUAUUUUGAACCGCAUGGUUCAAAAGUGAAAGACGGUCUUGCUGUCACUUAUAGAUGGAUCCGCGCUGCAUUAGCUAGUUGGUAAGGUAACGGCUUACCAAGGCAACGAUGCAUAGCCGACCUGAGAGGGUGAUCGGCCACACUGGAACUGAGACACGGUCCAGACUCCUACGGGAGGCAGCAGUAGGGAAUCUUCCGCAAUGGGCGAAAGCCUGACGGAGCAACGCCGCGUGAGUGAUGAAGGUCUUCGGAUCGUAAAACUCUGUUAUUAGGGAAGAACAUAUGUGUAAGUAACUGUGCAAAUCUUGACGGUACCUAAUCAGAAAGCCACGGCUAACUACGUG
Molecule: ribosomal RNA, 497 nt
Filed under: uncultured bacterium
Lineage: Bacteria
Description: partial 16S ribosomal RNA
Rfam family: Bacterial small subunit ribosomal RNA
Source: RNAcentral